This 607-nucleotide ribosomal RNA is filed under the name Passiflora elegans. Its description in RNAcentral is "eukaryotic LSU rRNA". The stretch from base 231 to 386 matches the Rfam family "5.8S ribosomal RNA". The record is from RNAcentral. Lineage: Eukaryota; Viridiplantae; Streptophyta; Magnoliopsida; Malpighiales; Passifloraceae.
UUGUCGAAACCUGCAAAGCAGAACGACCCGCGAACCGUUGCGAAGAUCACGGCGGGGCGGGGGAGAGCCGCGGGUCCGUCCCGCUCUCUCCCCACGUCCCCGCCACACGAACAAAACCCCGGCGCGAGACGCGCCAAGGAAUAGAAAACGAAGAGAUAGGGAACGGGUGGCCCGUCGAGUGCCGGAGACGGAUCUCUCGCGGGCGACCCCUUCUCGUUCGGAAACAAAACGACUCUCGGCAACGGAUAUCUCGGCUCUCGCAUCGAUGAAGAACGUAGCGAAAUGCGAUACUUGGUGUGAAUUGCAGAAUCCCGUGAACCAUCGAGUCUUUGAACGCAAGUUGCGCCCGAAGCCUUCGGGCCGAGGGCACGCCUGCCUGGGUGUCAUGCGUCGUCGCCCCCCGACCAUCGGGACGGGCGGAGAUUGGUCUCCCGUGCGCUCCCGCUCGCGGUUGGCCGAAAUACGAGUUGUUGGCGGCCGAUAGCGCCACGGCAAGCGGUGGUUGUCAAAGACCUUCGGAGAUUGCCGCGGGCGAGGCCGUCGCGAGGCUCCGGGACCCUGUUUUCUAACCACAGCGACCCCAGGUCAGGCGGGAUUACCCGCUGAG